This 19-nucleotide small nuclear RNA is filed under the name Arabidopsis thaliana (thale cress). RNAcentral describes it as "snRNA_15087". The record is from RNAcentral. Lineage: Eukaryota; Viridiplantae; Streptophyta; Magnoliopsida; Brassicales; Brassicaceae.
AGAUAGACGUAAAGCUUUA